Molecule: ribosomal RNA, 899 nt
Filed under: uncultured bacterium
Lineage: Bacteria
Description: bacterial SSU rRNA
Rfam family: Bacterial small subunit ribosomal RNA
Source: RNAcentral
ACGCUAGCUACAGGCUUAACACAUGCAAGUCGGGGGGCAGCAUGGAAGAAGCUUGCUUCUUCUGAUGGCGACCGGCGCACGGGUGCGUAACGCGUAUCAAACCUGCCUCAUACUCGGGGAUAGCCUUGCGAAAGUAAGAUUAAUACCCGAUGUUGUUAUGUUACCGCAUGGUGAUAUAACCAAAGAUUUAUCGGUAUGAGAUGGUGAUGCGUCCGAUUAGGUAGUAGGCGGGGUAACGGCCCACCUAGCCUUCGAUCGGUAGGGGUUCUGAGAGGAAGGUCCCCCACACUGGAACUGAGACACGGUCCAGACUCCUACGGGAGGCAGCAGUGAGGAAUAUUGGUCAAUGGACGGAAGUCUGAACCAGCCAAGUAGCGUGCAGGAUGACGGCCCUCUGGGUUGUAAACUGCUUUUAGUUGGGAAUAAAAAAGAGGACGUGUCCUCUAUUGUAUGUACCUUCAGAAAAAGGACCGGCUAAUUCCGUGCCAGCAGCCGCGGUAAUACGGAAGGUCCAGGCGUUAUCCGGAUUUAUUGGGUUUAAAGGGAGCGUAGGCGGAUUAUUAAGUCAGUGGUGAAAGACGGUGGCUCAACCAUCGUUAGCCAUUGAAACUGGUAGUCUUGAGUGCAGACAGGGAUGCUGGAACUCGUGGUGUAGCGGUGAAAUGCUUAGAUAUCACGAUGAACUCCGAUCGCGAAGGCAGGUGUCCGGGCUGCAACUGACGCUGAGGCUCGAAAGUGUGGGUAUCAAACAGGAUUAGAUACCCUGGUAGUCCACACAGUAAACGAUGUAUACUCGCGGUUUGCGAUAGAAUGUAAGCCGCCAAGCGAAAGCAUUAAGUAUACCACCUGGGGAGUACGCCGGCAACGGUGAAACUCAAAGGAAUUGACGGGGGCCCGCA